ACUACAACAGCAAGUUGUAUAAAGAAAUAAAAUUUGCGGUACGUUGAUUUGAAUUUAGACAGCGGUAUGGGAAGGUGGCCUAAAGAUGUGGAAGUAUGUGAUCAUGGGCUUUUUUGAAUCUGGGUAACAUACCAACAAUAGGGUCAUCUUAAGACUGUUCUGCAUUCAAUUUCAAUUUCCUCAACUUCAAAGAUGCUUUUUCUACCCAGCUACAAAAUAGUUGCUUUUAGCCAUUUUACUGAAUUUAACUUUUUAUGGAAUAGAAUGGCAGAUAAUCCAAACUGUUUCAAGAUUCUUGCAUGUAUAUAAAGGAACUCCCGAUCCAGAUUCAUACUUUUGAUUACAACCAGUACUGAUACUGUUUUAAAGUGCAUCUUGACUACUUCUGGUGCUGCUAGACAUGGAGUUCCAGAAACAUGAAGGAUUCCUACUGAACUAUUUGAUCUACAUCAAGAAUUUGCACAUAACUUUUAUCAGAAUUAAUGAAAAACAGAUAGCAAUAUGGUUAAAGUUGAUUUAUAUUAGUUACAGAACCUACAAGAAUAGAUUGUUUACAAACUUAAUUUUCAAAAACAGGGUCUCUUCACUGCUAGUUUUCCAAUUUUUAAAUUUUUUUCCAAAGGAAAACAACUGCCAUUAUUUAUUCCUACAUUUAUAUUCUUUCUUCUAGAUAAAAGGAAUACUAAUCCUUGAAAAAAAAUUGAAAAACUAGAUCUGUAGUCCAACUGGAACACUAUUUUACACACAGUAGUUAACUUGAAUAAUUGCUAUAGCCCAAUAUAUUUUCAGUGUAUUAGAAAAAAAAAAACCUUACUGAUACUAGAUAUUUUAAAGUAUAUGUCCAUUUUCCUACAUCUACAUGAAGGUAAAACCUAUAACUUAACAUUUUAAUUAUUUUGAUAUCUGUCUUAAAAAUGAAUAUUUCACUAUUAUAUUUUUUUAACUUUCCGAAAAGAGUAACAGUUAAACAUUGAGUUACUAUAUUUAGUCCAAAAUCAUAAGCAAGAUGUUACAAGUCACUACAAAGGUGACAGUCUGCUGCAUAGUCAAAUUGGUUAACACAUUGAGUUUCAUUUGUAAACAUGAUUGGUAUGACUAAUUUCUAAUACAUAGAAAAUUUCACACAUAUUUAGGUGCUGUAAAACAGCAUUACGUAUCUAAAUGGCUGUCCAUGGGGGAUUGUUCGCACAGAUAGCAAUCUGCGCGAACAAUCCCCCAUGGAAAGUUGUUGGGGUUUGUUUUUAUAUAUUUUUUAACUUAGACACUUGUGUUUUAUGUAUGAUUGCAUUUUAAGUUCAUGCCAAUAUUGUGUAAUUAUAAUUUUCAAUGUUGAGGAAGUGAUAAUAAAAUUGAGUAUUUCAAUUAAAACUUCCUUUUCACAUGUAUUAUUCACUUUACAUUGGAUAUUUUAUGAGAUUUACGAAUUUGUAAUAACAUGGUGUGAAACCACAAUUGAGUUUUUGAAUAAUGCUUCAAGUUUGGUGUUUAAAGCAAAUAAAAUUUAAUUUUCAAAAGAA
Long non-coding RNA from Limulus polyphemus (Atlantic horseshoe crab), 1517 nucleotides. RefSeq lists it as uncharacterized. The transcript has 3 exons. The record is from RefSeq and is a predicted model, not a curated record. Lineage: Eukaryota; Metazoa; Arthropoda; Merostomata; Xiphosura; Limulidae.